This 546-nucleotide ribosomal RNA is filed under the name Botryosphaeria aterrima. RNAcentral describes it as "eukaryotic LSU rRNA". The stretch from base 186 to 339 matches the Rfam family "5.8S ribosomal RNA". The record is from RNAcentral. Lineage: Eukaryota; Fungi; Ascomycota; Dothideomycetes; Botryosphaeriales; Botryosphaeriaceae.
CAUUACCGAGUUGAUUCGGGCUCCGGCCCGAUCCUCCCACCCUUUGUGUACCUACCUCUGUUGCUUUGGCGGGCCGCGGUCCUCCGCGGCCGCCCCCCUCCCCGGGGGGGUGGCCAGCGCCCGCCAGAGGACCAUCAAACUCCAGUCAGUAAACGAUGCAGUCUGAAAAACAUUUAAUAAACUAAAACUUUCAACAACGGAUCUCUUGGUUCUGGCAUCGAUGAAGAACGCAGCGAAAUGCGAUAAGUAAUGUGAAUUGCAGAAUUCAGUGAAUCAUCGAAUCUUUGAACGCACAUUGCGCCCUUUGGUAUUCCGAAGGGCAUGCCUGUUCGAGCGUCAUUACAACCCUCAAGCUCUGCUUGGUAUUGGGCACCGUCCUUUGCGGGCGCGCCUCAAAGACCUCGGCGGUGGCGUCUUGCCUCAAGCGUAGUAGAACAUACAUCUCGCUUCGGAGCGCAGGGCGUCGCCCGCCGGACGAACCUUCUGAACUUUUCUCAAGGUUGACCUCGGAUCAGGAAGGGAUACCCGCUGAACUUAAGCAUAUCA